UGAUGUUUUUGGAGACAAGUACGCUGAUGAGAGAAUGUGGAAGAGGCUUUUGUACAGUGUGCAAGAAAAAUACUUAACAAAAUUGAAUAAGUGGGCCCAGUGAGCUGCAGGAGGAUGCAGGGACUGCAGGGCUGUCACAGGCACUGACGGAGCAGGGUUUCCCUCCUGGUGGUGCUGACCUGUCUGACUGCCGAGAGCCGAUCAGAAGCGCCGCCUCCCUGUCUGCCGAGCCUGAGGUCCAGUCUGUUCUGGAUGGAGCAGGGCCCUGAGCUGAGGCCACACCCUGAGAACUCAGAACUGAGGGAGCAGAUGGAGGAAGGGGAGCCGGCAGGUUGGGGGAUGAGAAUGACCGAAACAAGGACACGGGAACGGUGGUGCAGGUGGACACUCACGGGGUGAGAAUGAGGACAAAUUGGGUUUAGAGAUCAGGAGUCACUGAGAGACGCCUGUCAUCACCCAAACCCUCCAGGGCCAGCCUGAACAGAGCAGUGGGGAUGGGAGAGGAGCUCAGGGCACUGGGGUCCUAGGCACCUGGCCAAGGACACCCACAGGCUGGACUCAGAGCUGGUUCACACUGAGGGAAGCACCAACCCCAAGAGGAGGAAGAAGUGACCGUGAGACCCUGCCCAGCUCCAGCAGCCUCGUCCUUGGGGCUGCCCUGGCAGUGGACGCCCUCCAGGUCAGGGUGGGCUGAGCAGGAGAAGGGUGGACAUGCUGCUCUAGGCCAGUGACCCGGGGACAGGGGACCCUUGCACAUGAAGUAGUGACACUUGGCUAUUCUCUGUGCCUUUCAGUUGAGAAAGGUCUGGUGGCAGCCCAGGGAACGGGCGGAGAGGUCACAGACACGUCAUCCCCAUGACGCAGUGAACAGGAAGGGAAUUCCUGAGAGCAGUCCCGGUGUCACCAGACCCCCACAGGGGACUGUCCCUGAGUUCUGAUACUGUAGGGCAGGGGUCUCUCUACAGAAGGAGACGUGCAGCUCCCUGGCAGGAAGGAGGGUGUCUCUCACAGAACACUCAGGGAAGGAGUGUAGACGGGGUGCUGGAGUCAGAAACCACUUUUAUUCAGUCACUGACGACCACUGCGGGGAGCCCCCUGGUGCCGGGCCUGAGUGGGAACCGUGAACACGGAGUUGGUGAAACCGUGUCCCAGCAUCCACGGAGCUCUCAGACCGCAGCUGGUGGGCCCUGGGUGACAACACUCCUGACCUCCCGGGACACCACCAGCAUCUGCCUCCAGGUCGUGUCAAGGUCAACAGAGCCAAGGUCUCCAGGGGGAGCUGCUGACUCCGUCAUGGCCACCUGGAGACACCAUGAGGCCAGUUUAGUGGGACCCUUAAGUCCAUGUCUGCCAGAAAGGUGACGCUGGUCCCUGUUCUUGUGGGUAAUUACAUGUUUCCAUACCUUCCUAAUCUCCCAUCGCAUCAAAAUUAAUUAAACGAUGACUCUAUUUUUAGAAUUUCAGUAGCUCAUAAUUUACUCUCAGAUCUCGCAGUAAAGAACGAGUGUGGAGGGAAUAAAGCUGUUUCCGUGUUUGCAGGGAACACGCAGGGACUGGGGCUGGACUGGCUUUCUGCAUUCACAGGCUCGGGGAACAUCGUGACUCUUGUGCUCAGAGACACAGAAAUGUCCCACACCCUUGUUUCACUGUCUGUCCACCCUGUCCCUGUGUGAAAAAUCCGACAUCUGUGCUCACCUAGGGACGCUGAGCUAAGUCAGUUGAGCUCAGCGAGGGCAGUUCCUGAUCCCUGUGGGUAGUGUCCUGUGCUCGUCACACUGGGGGGCAGAGGACAGGAGCUCCGGUCCCCACUGAAAGGAGCUGAGAGUUGUCUGCUCUGAAUUCAGCCAGGGGUGUGUGUAGGUGGGGAAUCAACAGCUCACCCCCUCGCUCCCCUGCUGAUGAGGAAGAGGAUGAUGAGGAGCAGUGACGGCCCUGGGCUUUAUGCCCCUCCUCCUGAUU
Lemur catta (Ring-tailed lemur) is the source of this 1959-nucleotide RNA transcript. It is a transcript of the gene named putative neuroblastoma breakpoint family member 5, with no coding region annotated. The record is from RefSeq and is a predicted model, not a curated record. Lineage: Eukaryota; Metazoa; Chordata; Mammalia; Primates; Lemuridae. The transcript is spliced from 4 exons.